ACACCGAAGCGCUCUGGACCCCUGACUUCUAACCUCCGCCCGCUGCUGCUUGCUGCAUCCGUCGCCCCCUCGCCGCCAAGCUGGUCGCAUCGCUGCCGUUUCAAGAGGCUGACUGGAGGCCGGCGAGGAAAGAGAGAGAGACGGCGUCGCGAGGAGGCGGCUGCCCACUCCUUCCCCAGACACCGUUUUGGGGCCUCCUGACCACCCCGCCCCAUCCUGCGCCUUGGACUGGGCCCACGACGCCCACGGUCUUGACGCUUUCCGCCUCUGAAACAGUCACCAAAGCCCCUGCAAUGGAAUUGGGGGACCGGUUGGCCUUGGGCAGAGAAGCGGCUCCUGGGCUGGGUGGAAGGAAACCGUAGCCUUGGGGUUGCCACCAGAAAUAUGGUAUGGGUGUGGGGUGGGUGGCCUGUGAGAUCAGUAGGUUAAAGCCCUGGCUCAUCGUUGCCCUGGGGCCACAUAGGAAGUGCGGGUGCCCGGCCUUGUGACCUCCUCUUGCAACAGUGAGUUGUUCCACUCACUGUAAUUUGACUUUGCCUAUGUUUAUGUCCUCUCCCUUCUCUGACCCUGUGCUCCUCCAGGCCAUUGUGCUUUUUCAUCCUGAUGGCUCCCACAGUGCCUGCCUCUGAACCUGUUUGCUAAGUGAUCGAGAAGCUGCCAUACCCCGAACAUUAGGCACCAACCAGACUUUACUGGCCCUAUCCCAAGAGCAAUUUCCAGAUUUAUUUGUUUUUGUUUUUAAGUCCAGAACCUCUUUUACAUCUUUAAAUUAAUCCCCACUUUUUUUUUUUUUUUUUACAGCUUCAGGCAGCCUCCAUGUCUCUCUGGAUGAUGUAAGGAGGAUUUUAAGGCAGAAAUGCAAGCAAAAAGAAAUAUCCCAAACGUGACUGGGAAGAGAAGAGCCAGGACUGACCAGAAGCUGGAGUGAAGAUGAAAGAACCACAGGAUAUUGAAGAAUUGGCCGUAAUGAAUAACUUUGAAGUCCUGUCUGGUCUGUGUCCUCGGACUCCCCUGGGGUCUCUCCCCUGCUUUCCAUUCGUCAAGCUGGCUGAACUCAGGCAUUCAGAGCAAAGGGAGAGGUUGGUGGAGGUGAAGUAGGUGAGGGAAAAACAUCGCAGUAUCCCACACCUGAUUCAUCUGUUCACUCAGCAAAUAUUUAUUGAGUACCUACUACAUCCCAGAAGCUGUUCCAGGCACUGGAAUACAUCAGCGAAUAAAACAGAGUCACUUGCUCCUAGCAAA
This is a long non-coding RNA of Lemur catta (Ring-tailed lemur), 1242 nucleotides long. RefSeq lists it as uncharacterized. The transcript is spliced from 2 exons. NCBI's taxonomy places the organism in Eukaryota, Metazoa, Chordata, Mammalia, Primates, Lemuridae. The record is from RefSeq and is a predicted model, not a curated record.